GACGAACGCUGGCGGCGUGCUUAACACAUGCAAGUCGAACGGAAAGGCCCUGCGUUUGUGGGGUGCUCGAGUGGCGAACGGGUGAGUAACACGUGAGUAACCUGCCCUUGACUUUGGGAUAACUUCAGGAAUCUGGGGCUAAUACCGGAUAGGAGCUCCUGCCGCAUGGUGGGGGUGGGAAAGUUUCGGCGGUUGUGGAUGGACUCGCGGCUUAUCAGUCUGUUGGUGGGGUAGUGGCUUACCAAGGCUUUGACGCGUAGCCGGCCUGAGAGGGUGAACGGCCACAUUGGGCCUGCGUUGCGGCCCAGACUCCGACGGGACGCAGGAGUGGGGAAUAUUGCAUAAUGGGAGGAAGCCUGAUGGAACAACGCCGCGUUCGGGAUAGCGGCCUGCUUGUUGUAAACCGCUUUCGCCUGUGACGAAGCGUGAAUGACGGUAAUGGGUAAAUAAGCACCGGCUAACUACGUG
Molecule: ribosomal RNA, 468 nt
Filed under: uncultured bacterium
Lineage: Bacteria
Description: partial 16S ribosomal RNA
Rfam family: Bacterial small subunit ribosomal RNA
Source: RNAcentral